Long non-coding RNA from Humulus lupulus (European hop), 527 nucleotides. RefSeq lists it as uncharacterized. The record is from RefSeq and is a predicted model, not a curated record. The transcript has 2 exons. Lineage: Eukaryota; Viridiplantae; Streptophyta; Magnoliopsida; Rosales; Cannabaceae.
AUAUAUAUUGACUUCAUUAUUCUAAAAACUUAUUUAAUGAGUAUAUAUAUUGACGUCUUCAACAAGAAGAAUACUUUGGAGCUCCCAAAUUCAUGAAGAUUGGAGACCUGAAAGGGCAUUUUGGAUUACUCGCGGUGAUCAUGCAAAUUCUGAGAGCAAAGCUCAAAGUAUUAGAUCUUUCGUAUGGAAAUGGAACAGGUAUAAUUAAGCACAACUCAACUACACAUCUGGUACUGAAAUAUCUGUCUUCAUGUGAAUGUAAUUUUAGAAAUUAACAAUUUUAUUGUUUUUAAGUGAGUUAUGUCGGAAAGGAUAGGAAUUUCCUAUGGAGGCUUUAUGAGUGAUCUUUUUCAUGCCAUAUUAGUAAUCUCUUUAAACUGUAUAUUAGUCAAAAUUUGAAACUUGUGUGCACAAAAUGUUAGUUGUUAUUCAUAUCUUGGCUUCCUUUGUAACUGUAUAACAUGAAUUUGUUGAGGAUUAUGUAAUUUUUCUUGAAAUGUACAACUAGUAGUAUUACUGUAAAACAA